GACGAACGCUGGCGGCGUGCCUAAUACAUGCAAGUCGAACGCUUUUUCUUUCACCGGAGCUUGCUCCAUCGAAAGAAAAAGAGUGGCGAACGGGUGAGUAACACGUGGGAAACCUGCCCAUCAGAAGGGGAUAACACUUGGAAACAGGUGCUAAUACCGUAUAACACUAUUUUCCGCAUGGAAGAAAGUUGAAAGGCGCUUUUGCGUCACUGAUGGAUGGACCCGCGGUGCAUUAGCUAGUUGGUGAGGUAACGGCUCACCAAGGCAACGAUGCAUAGCCGACCUGAGAGGGUGAUCGGCCACACUGGGACUGAGACACGGCCCAGACUCCUACGGGAGGCAGCAGUAGGGAAUCUUCGGCAAUGGACGAAAGUCUGACCGAGCAACGCCGCGUGAGUGAAGAAGGUUUUCGGAUCGUAAAACUCUGUUGUUAGAGAAGAACAAGGAUGAGAGUAAAAUGUUCAUCCCUUGACGGUAUCUAACCAGAAAGCCACGGCUAACUACGUGCCAGCAGCCGCCGUAA
This 523-nucleotide ribosomal RNA is filed under the name uncultured bacterium. RNAcentral describes it as "partial 16S ribosomal RNA". It matches the Rfam family "Bacterial small subunit ribosomal RNA", at positions 28 to 523 of the family's 1533-position model. The record is from RNAcentral.